This 251-nucleotide ribosomal RNA is filed under the name uncultured bacterium. Its description in RNAcentral is "partial 16S ribosomal RNA". It matches the Rfam family "Bacterial small subunit ribosomal RNA", at positions 1250 to 1500 of the family's 1533-position model. The record is from RNAcentral.
CGAGACGGCGACGUUAAGCAAAUCCCAGAAAUAACGUCCCAGUUCGGAUUGUAGUCUGCAACCCGACUACAUGAAGCUGGAAUCGCUAGUAAUCGCGGAUCAGAAUGCCGCGGUGAAUACGUUCCCGGGUCUUGUACACACCGCCCGUCACACCAUGGGAGUCGGAAAUGCCCGAAGUCAGUGACCCAACCGUAAGGAGGGAGCUGCCGAAGGUGGAGCCGGUAACUGGGGUGAAGUCGUAACAAGGUAUC